RNAcentral lists this ribosomal RNA (125 nucleotides) under Bipolaris subramanianii. RNAcentral's name for it is "partial 28S ribosomal RNA". It matches the Rfam family "Eukaryotic large subunit ribosomal RNA", at positions 1 to 124 of the family's 3401-position model. Lineage: Eukaryota; Fungi; Ascomycota; Dothideomycetes; Pleosporales; Pleosporaceae. RNAcentral also lists the same sequence under 1 other name. The record is from RNAcentral.
UUGACCUCGGAUCAGGUAGGGAUACCCGCUGAACUUAAGCAUAUCAAUAAGCGGAGGAAAAGAAACCAACAGGGAUUGCCCUAGUAACGGCGAGUGAAGCGGCAACAGCUCAAAUUUGAAAUCUG